UACUAAUAUAUAAGAGGGGAUAAGUAGGCUCCUCAGGGUCAACAUGUCUGUUUCACCACGAAGGCAGUUCGAUCAUUUCACGUGCUUCUACUUAUAAGUGAGCUCUUUGUGCCUAUGUUAGCAGCUAAACAUGUGUUCCCCCAAUUUUGCAAGUUUUCACGGGUUUGACAUCACGAUUUGGAGGUUCUUUACAAGACCAAGUAUUAUAUAAUGUAGGGAACUUGAAAUCUCCUUGCCAUCCCUUCAUCAAGCAGAAGGAUGGCUUUUUGAAUUCUCGAAGGGAUACUUACAUAUGAAUAGAUGGGAUGAACCAACUAAACAACCUUUUCAAGAAGCCAGGGCAAUAUUGUCUGAUUUUGUUCCACUAUCUCCUAUUGCAUUCAACAAUUAUAAGCAAAUUCUUAGCUACGAGCCUUUACUUUUUUCUUUUAGUUUACACGGAUAAAUUAUGCAUAGUAGCAUAUUAACUGUGGAUUCCCUAGCAUAGUACGACGACGUUCCCACUAGUAUAUAUUAUAUUUGUUUUGGUUUGAUUUUAACA
Long non-coding RNA from Lycium ferocissimum, 541 nucleotides. RefSeq lists it as uncharacterized. The transcript has 2 exons. Lineage: Eukaryota; Viridiplantae; Streptophyta; Magnoliopsida; Solanales; Solanaceae. The record is from RefSeq and is a predicted model, not a curated record.